Molecule: long non-coding RNA, 5666 nt
Filed under: Brassica rapa (field mustard)
Lineage: Eukaryota; Viridiplantae; Streptophyta; Magnoliopsida; Brassicales; Brassicaceae
Description: long non-coding RNA (BRAP_LNC003062)
Source: RNAcentral
GAAGAGGCUACUAUUGGGCUUUAGAGUUCCACUGAGACAGGCCUUGAGUCGUAGCUUCGUGACGGCACCCGUUGAGAUAUCGCACCUGACUCCGUUAAAGGGAUCACUGAGGUUGCAGUGGCUGCUAUCAAACUCAUCCAUGAACUCAGUGAGAGCUUGAGUCUGAUGGGGACCACAAGCAACAUAACUACUUUUAUCGAUGUUUAAUGUGAAUAAGCUUGAAGGGGAGACACAACAGAGCAAGAUUAGCGAGAGAAAAUGCAAACGCACACGGGAUUCAGACAUGGUCUUUAUGAAAAGUUUUGAAGAAGAUUUAUUUUGGUUUAAAAAAAAGUGAGGGAGAAGGUUGGUGAUAUAAAUAGAGAUAUGUGGGUUUCAACUGGAGCUAUUAUGUCACCCAUACAACUCGACUUAUAAGAAGUCAGAGCUGAGUGAUGUCUUUGUAUUCUAGCUUGGAAAAAAAAAUAUGGCUAAGUGGCUAAUUUCCAUUCAUAUCAUGAAGUGAAAUCCACGUUAGUUGAUUUUUCUAGCGUAUAACUUGGAUUGGAAUAGUUUAACAGAAAUAAACAAAACUUGGUUCGAAAUUUCUCACAUGUGUUCAAAACGACAUGCACAUAAUGUUUGUGGAGUGUCAAUUUGCAGACCUGUUAACGUGAAGGACCGUCACAGACAAAGUGGUCACAUAUAUAUUGGUUUAGCUAACAAAAGACCUUACAUGUCUGAUGUAUCACACACUAAGCGCAGUUUCUCGGAAUCGCAACCGACGAACAUCUCAUGGACCUUAGCCGACUGAUGAUUAUAGAUCACUUUCAGUUUGUCGCCGGAUUGAUGAUUAGAUCUAUUAACGAAAUCAUCGGAAAAAUACAACCGCAGGCGAUUGAUGAUUAGAUUUAAAUCUACAUGUUCCAUACCAGUCGGUCUGAAUCACUUGAUGAUUCUGGCUAUGGAUAAACUUCGCUCCAUCAUGUUCAUUCUAAAAUAGUAAAAAUCUACUCUCAAAAGAUAGAAGAUCAAAGCAUAACCGAUAACACAAAGAGAUCUACACAUCAAUCCAACAUUUGGAGCUUUCCGAAAUUAGAUCCGAAAGCUAUAUGAACAUGCAUAAGGUGAGGAAAAUAAAGCAAAAACAAAGAUAGCCGAAUAUAAUUGGAGCGAGUUAAGGAAAAUUUCAGCAAGAGAUAUGGUGGUGGGAAGGCUACCAAUGCUAAACCCAACAGCUUGAACAAAGAGUUUGGGUACUUGAGCUCCACCGUCAGAAUGAAACACAAAAAAUUUCUUUCUAGUCUCUAUUGAUAUGAUAUUAACUUGUUUGUCUUUCUCGUAGGUCUAAACUAAAGGAGCAUAUGCAGUACUGUGUGGAUCAUCCUGAGGAGAUUAACAAACUUGCUAAGGUUAAGGCUCAAGUAACUGAGGUGAAAGGAGUUAUGAUGGAGAACAUUGAGAAGGUCAGGAUAGUAUUAUCUAUGUUAAUCUCACAGCUCUGCUUUAUAAUUAAUUUGAGCAUAUUUGUCAUAACUGGCUUGAAUUUGUGAAGCUGACUAAGCUUUAUGUAAUUCAUUUAUUUUCAGGUCCUUGACCGAGGUGAGAAAAUCGAGCUUCUAGUGGACAAAACUGAGGAUCUUCGUUCACAUGUUAGUGCUUACCUUUCACUUAUAUGUGUCUUAGGUUUUUAAUAACAUUCUUUUUCAGCAGUAUUAAUUCCUUUUGAACUAAUCAAAGAAAAACUCAUGUGUAUACAUAUAAACACAUAACAAGGCAUUAGAUUUAUAUUUGCCAUUUGAAUAACAACAGGCAUAAGAUUUCAGAACACAAGGAACAAAAAUAAGAAGAAAGAUGUGGUGGGAGAACAUGAAGAUUAAGCUCAUAGUCGUUGGUAUCAUCAUUGCAUUGAUUCUCAUCAUCAUCAUCUCGGUUUGUCCUGGCUUCAAGUGUACUUGAAAAGAAGAACAGUUUGAGAGAUUAUAAGCCCCUUAUUGUUAUACUAACCUGCUCCUCCCAGUAUUUUCCCUUCUAUUUUGAUCUUUUUGUUCCGCAGUGUCUCUUUUAUAGUUAUUUUUAAUUUUGUUAGCAAAAAAGCAAUACGAUGAGCAGUAUUUAGAAAUGAUCCUUUGGGUUGUGAAUGUUUGGAAACUGAUUUAAGCUGUUGGGGUUUGCUUAUACAUAGGCUAGGUCUUUGUGCUCAUGGUGAUGGCAUGUUUUUUUUGUAAUCUUGAAUCGAAUGUUGGGUUUUGCCGUUUCCUUCAAUCUCCUAAUUUUCUCAUUAGGGGAAAAACAUUAUAUUAGAUCGUUGUGUUCAUGCUUAUUUGAUAGAAGAAGAAAUAAGCAAAGUAUUAGAUUAAGAUACAACAAACAUAAGAUAGUGCUUUAAUACAACUAGUUGACAGACAAGGAAAGAUCAAAGUCAGACAGCAACAAUUCUAACGAUACACACAAAAAAACACACAAGGAAAAUGCUAUAUAAUACAUGAUCAACAACUACUUGACAGACAUUGAAAGCACAAACUUAAAACGGAAACAAUCCCAACGGUUUAUGCGGUCGCACCAGGUAUAGCCUUGAGCCAAAAAAAGAAACUUGUAUUUGAUUCUGUUGUGGUCAACAACUAGAAACCUUAACGACUGAAAGACUUCGGAUUCUUUACAGAAAGGAUAAAUAGAACAAAACAUCAGAUAAUGAUACAACAAACAUAAGGAAAUGCUUGCAUACAUGAGCAUUUAAAACUAAGACAUACAUUCAAGGAUUACACUCAUACUGCUUCUGCGCUUACUGGGACCAACUAUCUUGAGGAGCCACUCCGGUUUGUAUGAAGCAACGAGCUGUGCUAUUGCCAGUCCAAGCAACACUCCAAGGCCAUAUCCAAUAUCUACAGCUUUCCAGUUCAACACUUCUUCCUCUUCUUCAUCUUCUUUAGGUUGUUGUGUAGGUGGUACAUUAUUAGUCCCAAAGCAAGUUUCCUGGAGAGGAAGACCACAAAGCCCUGCAUUUCCUUCAAAUGAAGAUUUAGGUUGGCCAGUAAUCUGUGUUCCUUGUGGUAUUUCACCCUUGAGUUGGUUGUGAGACACAUUUAUGUACUCCAAAAAAGAGAGGCUCCCGAUUCCAUUAGGAAUAGUCCCUGAGAGUUGGUUGCUUGAUAGGUCAAGUGACUCGAGCUUGCCAAGAUUGGAGAGAGAGAGAGGAAUACGGCCAGUGAAGGCGUUGUUUGAUAAGUUGAGUGAAAUCAAUGCUUUCAGAAGACCAAUGGAUUCAGGAAUCUGUCCUUCAAUUCUAUUCCCAGAAAAAUCAAUAGUGGCGUAUGAGGUAAGGACCCCCUGUUGCUCCAUAGUUAGACCUUUGUAUCGCAAAUCUAUAGCCUCCAUAAUGGCAGCGCUGAAUUCCCCAUGUAUAAAUUCUCCGUGUUGCAUAUAUAUAUCACCAUCUUCAUUCAUUGUAAGUGUUGGUGCUUUCCAGUUGACAAAAUAUCUUGGUGGCAAGCUUCCAGAAAACUUAUUAUCAGAUAUCUCAAAUAUUUGCAGCUCUGGAAACCUGAGAGGACCUUGAUCAGGGGGAGAUAUAGAGCCAUAGAACUUGUUUGAACUGAGGAUAAGGACUUGCAAAUUCGGUAAAGCCUUGAGCCAAAAAGGAAACUUGUCUUUGAUUUUGUUGUGGUCAACAACUAGAAACUCUAGAGAUGAGCAGUUUUGAAGAGAUCUUGGAAGUUUCCCGGCGAGUAGAUUGUGUCCAACGUCAAGAGACCGUAGAGAAGCACCCAUAUAAAACGUGUCAGGAAUACUUCCUUCCAAAUUUUUCUUCCUAAGAUUCACAAACGUCAAGCUUUGACUCAAGCAUUGCGGAAUUGGACCAGUUAGGUUGUUGUUAGAUAGCUUCAAGAGCGUCAGAGACCUAUAAUUGCAAAGUGAAAGAGGUAUGCUCCCUGUGAAUCUGUUGUCUGAAGCAGAGAAAAAGUUGAUAGAGAGUGGUAGAAUAGGAAUUGCUCCUUCAAAAUAGUUUUUCUCCAUAAAUAAAUUCUUCACCGAUGAAUUUACUAAAACAUCAACUGGACCUUCGAAACCAUCAAACAAAUUAUCUGAAAUAAACACUGUGUUUAGAUGAGGAAGGUUCCACAACCACUCGGGGAUUUUCCCUUUGAUUCUAUUGUCGGACAAUGCUAUAAAAUCCAACUUCUCAAGGUUCUUUAAGGCAUUUGGGAACUCGGUGAUGCCACAGUCUGAUAAGAGCAAGAUCUCCAAGUCUGUUGGGAUGUCUGACUUUGAACCUAAACUGUCCGAAGGUAUGCUAUUACCGGAAAGAUCAAGGUGCACCAAAGAUUUUAGCGAGGAAAAGAGGCUUAUAUCAAUUGGGUAACUUGUGUUGAGGAAAGAAAGGUCAAGAACCUUGAGGUUGAUGAGCUUUGAGAUAGGCUCUAUGAUUUUUCCUUCAAAAUGGUUGCGCCCAAGGUACAUGGACUUGAGCCUAGAUGGGGUAGAGGUGUUAGGAAAUUUAAUAGAUCCGGUGAGAUUGUUUCCAUACAGACGGAGAUCUGAUAAGAUAGGCAUAUUGACUACAGAAGAAGGAAUGGUUCCAGAGAAGUAGUUAUCAUCAAGAUUUAGAACAGAGAGCAUGGUUAGAUUUUCCACAAGUGGAAAACUACCAGUGAGCUGGUUGUCGUCAAGGUACAAUUCGGUUAACGAGGUUAGGUUACUAAUUGUGGGAGGAACUAGCCCGAAAAAGUCAUUAAAGGCAAGAUCCAAGAACUCAAGUUUGUUGAGAUUUCCAAAUUCAGAAGGGAGUGAUGACCUGAAGUUGUUGGAACCUAGAUCAAGGUAACUGAGGUGGUGCAACUCAAACAGGCUAGUAUUGUUGGGAUUCAGAGUUCCAGAGAAAUGAUUAUGAGAAAGGUCUAAAAACGAGAGCUUUGUUAGAUUCCGUACAAGUGGGAAACUACCAGUGAGCUGGUUGUGGUCAAGGUACAAAUCGGUUAACGAGGUUAGGUUACUAAUUGUGGGAAGAACUUGCCCGUAAAAGUCAUUGGAGUGAAGAUACAAGACCUCUAACCUGUUGAGAUUUCCAAAUUCAGAAGGGAGUGAUGAGGUGAAGUUGUUUUGACUUAGAUCAAGGUAACGGAGGUGGUGCAACUCAAACAGGCUAGUACUCUUGGGAUUCAGACUUCCAGAGAAAUGAUUAUUAGAAAGGUCUAAAAACGAGAGCUUCGUUAGAAUCCUUACAAGUGGGAAACUACCAGUGAGCUCGUUUAGGGAAAGAGAUAAAUAGGAAAGAAGGCUUAGGUUAUUAAAUGAGGAAGGAACUUGGCCUACAAAGCUAUUAUUGGAAAGAUAUAUGACCUCUAACCUGUUGAGAUUGCCAAAUUCAGAAGGAAGUGAAGACGAGAUGAAGUUGUUUUGAUCGAGGACAAGGUGACGAAGAUGUUGUAAUCUGAAUAGGCUACUAUAUAUUGGGCUUUAGCGUUCCACUGAGGCAGGUCUGGAGUCGUAGCAUUGUGACCGCACCGGUCGAUUUAUCGCACCAGACUCCAUUAUUGGGAUCACUGAGGUUGCAGUGGCUGCUAUCAAACUCGUUCAUGAACUCAGUAAGAGCUUGAGUCUGAUUGGGAUGACAAGCAACAUAGAUACUAUCAUCGUAUGUGAAAGUGUAGAAGCUCGUUGAAGGGGAGACACAACAGAGCAAGAUUAGC